GACGAACGCUGGCGGCGUGCUUAACACAUGCAAGUCGAACGGAAAGGCCCUGCUUUUGUGGGGUGCUCGAGUGGCGAACGGGUGAGUAACACGUAAGUAACCUGCCCUUGACUUUGGGAUAACUUCAGGAAACUGGGGAUAAUACCGGAUAGGAGCUCCUGCUGCAUGGUGGGGGUUGGAAAGUUUCGGCGGUAGGGGAUGGACUCGCGGCUUAUCAGUUUGUUGGUGGGGUAGUGGCUUACCAAGGCUUUGAGGGGUAGCCGGCCUUAGGGGGUGACCGGCCCCCUUGGUACUGCGAUACGGCCCAGACUCCUACCGGAGGCAGCAGUGGGGAAUAUUGUACAAUGGGCGGAAGCCUGAUGCAGCAACGCCGCGUGCGGGAUGACGGCCUUCGGGUUGUAAACCGCUUUCGCCUGUGACGAAGCGUGAGUGACGGUAAUUGGUAAAGAAGCACCGGCUAACUACGUG
This 468-nucleotide ribosomal RNA is filed under the name uncultured bacterium. RNAcentral's name for it is "partial 16S ribosomal RNA". It matches the Rfam family "Bacterial small subunit ribosomal RNA", at positions 28 to 507 of the family's 1533-position model. The record is from RNAcentral.